CCAUGCAUGUCUAAGUAUAAAUUCUUGUACGAUGAAACUGCAGACGGCUCAUUACAACAGUGAUAAACUGCUAGACUUUCGGGUUUUUAACCUUUUGGAUAACCGCAGUAAAUCGGGGCUAAUACAUAGAAGCGAUGGGUGACUGGCAACGGAAGCUCAGCGAUUAUUAGCGUUACUACCAAUACCUUCGGGUCUUGUGGUGAAACCGAAUAAUAUUGCAGAUCGAGGAUUUAUCUUCGACAAGUCUACUGUGUCACUGCCCUAUCAACUUUCGAUGGUACGGUAUUGGCCUACCAUGGUUGUAACGGGUAACGGGGAAUUAGGGUUCGAUUCCGGAGAGGGAGCCUGAGAAAUGGCUACCACUUCUACGGAAGGCAGCAGGCGCGCAAAUUACUCAAUCCCAAUACGGGGAAGUAGUGACAAUAAAUAUCAAUACCUAUCCUUUUUGGAGGGCAAUUGAAAUGAACACAAAUUAAAACUCUUAAUUAACACAAUUGGAGGGCAAGUCUGGUGCCAGCAGCCGCGGUAAUUCCAGCUCCAAUAGCAUAUACUAAAGUUGUUGCAGUUAAAAAGCUCGUAGUUGAAGUUAAAGUUAUAUUGGGCUCAAGUUUUUUACCACUCUGGUGGCUAAAACAACUCCAAUAUUUCUUUUUUUAAUAGCUCAGUUUCUAGGUCUUUGACUCUAGUUAUUUGGGCAUUUCACUGUGAGAAAAUUGUGGUGUUUAAAGCAGGCGUCUCGUCUGAUCUUUUGCAGCAUGGUAUGAUGAAACAUGACAUUUUACG
This 783-nucleotide ribosomal RNA is filed under the name Dictyostelium sp. RNAcentral describes it as "SSU rRNA". It matches the Rfam family "Eukaryotic small subunit ribosomal RNA", at positions 49 to 836 of the family's 1831-position model. Lineage: Eukaryota; Evosea; Eumycetozoa; Dictyosteliales; Dictyosteliaceae. The record is from RNAcentral.